RNAcentral lists this ribosomal RNA (498 nucleotides) under uncultured bacterium. RNAcentral's name for it is "partial 16S ribosomal RNA". It matches the Rfam family "Bacterial small subunit ribosomal RNA", at positions 30 to 523 of the family's 1533-position model. The record is from RNAcentral.
AUUGAACGCUGGCGGCAUGCUUUACACAUGCAAGUCGAACGGUAACAGGCCGCAAGGUGCUGACGAGUGGCGAACGGGUGAGUAAUGCAUCGGAACGUGCCCAGUCGUGGGGGAUAACGCAGCGAAAGCUGUGCUAAUACCGCAUACGAUCUAUGGAUGAAAGCGGGGGACCGUAAGGCCUCGCGCGAUUGGAGCGGCCGAUGUCAGAUUAGGUAGUUGGUGGGGUAAAGGCUCACCAAGCCAACGAUCUGUAGCUGGUCUGAGAGGACGACCAGCCACACUGGGACUGAGACACGGCCCAGACUCCUACGGGAGGCAGCAGUGGGGAAUUUUGGACAAUGGGCGCAAGCCUGAUCCAGCAAUGCCGCGUGCAGGAAGAAGGCCUUCGGGUUGUAAACUGCUUUUGUACGGAACGAAAAGGUUUGGGUUAAUACCCUGGGCCGAUGACGGUACCGUAAGAAUAAGCACCGGCUAACUACGUGCCAGCAGCCGCCGUAA